UCGUCCGGAAUUUGUUUGAUCCGUGUCACCAUUGAUCAUUUCUUCUUCUUCUUCUUCUUCUCUCUCUCUCCCCUGCGAGGAAAGAGAGGUUUUUUAGCUAGGUAGCGAGUUCUUCUCGGAACGAAGGAAUAGCGAGCUUAGCGACUUACAGGCGCGGUGGUUUCCUCACUUUCGCUUUCUCGAGGAAGAGGAAGAGCGAGCGAGCGAGCGCGAGAGCGUUUUGGUCUCCUUCUUCUUCUUCGUGGUGGUGGUGUUCAUAACUUCGUGAAUCGUAUCGAUCGAUCGAGCGAAGCGAGCAAAUGGGGAGGCGGGUGAAGCGGUCCAAUGGAGCUGCCAGCAGCACCGCGCAAGAUCUGGGUAGCGAGAGCAGCAGCGGCAUCGUCAGUAGCAAGGAAGGGGGAGGCCAAGUUUUGAGCCUACCUUCGACUUCCUCUUCCUCUUCUUCGCAGAUUCAUGUCCUGGCCGUGGACGAUAGCCUUGUGGAUCGGACCGUCAUCGAGAGGCUGCUCAAGACGUCCUCUUCGUCGUUCAAAGGUAAGACAGAUAGUCUUCGAAUCUGGGCGAUGAAUUUCUCGAUUGAAAUCGCUUGCUUGUUUGCUCUUCUUGC
This 607-nucleotide long non-coding RNA is filed under the name Selaginella moellendorffii. Its description in RNAcentral is "long non-coding RNA (SMOE_LNC000069)". Lineage: Eukaryota; Viridiplantae; Streptophyta; Lycopodiopsida; Selaginellales; Selaginellaceae. The record is from RNAcentral.